RNAcentral lists this ribosomal RNA (2321 nucleotides) under Escherichia coli. RNAcentral describes it as "partial 23S ribosomal RNA". It matches the Rfam family "Bacterial large subunit ribosomal RNA", at positions 614 to 2915 of the family's 2925-position model. The record is from RNAcentral. Lineage: Bacteria; Pseudomonadati; Pseudomonadota; Gammaproteobacteria; Enterobacterales; Enterobacteriaceae.
AAUGGGUCAGCGACUUAUAUUCUGUAGCAAGGUUAACCGAAUAGGGGAGCCGAAGGGAAACCGAGUCUUAACUGGGCGUUAAGUUGCAGGGUAUAGACCCGAAACCCGGUGAUCUAGCCAUGGGCAGGUUGAAGGUUGGGUAACACUAACUGGAGGACCGAACCGACUAAUGUUGAAAAAUUAGCGGAUGACUUGUGGCUGGGGGUGAAAGGCCAAUCAAACCGGGAGAUAGCUGGUUCUCCCCGAAAGCUAUUUAGGUAGCGCCUCGUGAAUUCAUCUCCGGGGGUAGAGCACUGUUUCGGCAAGGGGGUCAUCCCGACUUACCAACCCGAUGCAAACUGCGAAUACCGGAGAAUGUUAUCACGGGAGACACACGGCGGGUGCUAACGUCCGUCGUGAAGAGGGAAACAACCCAGACCGCCAGCUAAGGUCCCAAAGUCAUGGUUAAGUGGGAAACGAUGUGGGAAGGCCCAGACAGCCAGGAUGUUGGCUUAGAAGCAGCCAUCAUUUAAAGAAAGCGUAAUAGCUCACUGGUCGAGUCGGCCUGCGCGGAAGAUGUAACGGGGCUAAACCAUGCACCGAAGCUGCGGCAGCGACACUAUGUGUUGUUGGGUAGGGGAGCGUUCUGUAAGCCUGUGAAGGUGUGCUGUGAGGCAUGCUGGAGGUAUCAGAAGUGCGAAUGCUGACAUAAGUAACGAUAAAGCGGGUGAAAAGCCCGCUCGCCGGAAGACCAAGGGUUCCUGUCCAACGUUAAUCGGGGCAGGGUGAGUCGACCCCUAAGGCGAGGCCGAAAGGCGUAGUCGAUGGGAAACAGGUUAAUAUUCCUGUACUUGGUGUUACUGCGAAGGGGGGACGGAGAAGGCUAUGUUGGCCGGGCGACGGUUGUCCCGGUUUAAGCGUGUAGGCUGGUUUUCCAGGCAAAUCCGGAAAAUCAAGGCUGAGGCGUGAUGACGAGGCACUACGGUGCUGAAGCAACAAAUGCCCUGCUUCCAGGAAAAGCCUCUAAGCAUCAGGUAACAUCAAAUCGUACCCCAAACCGACACAGGUGGUCAGGUAGAGAAUACCAAGGCGCUUGAGAGAACUCGGGUGAAGGAACUAGGCAAAAUGGUGCCGUAACUUCGGGAGAAGGCACGCUGAUAUGUAGGUGAAGUCCCUCGCGGAUGGAGCUGAAAUCAGUCGAAGAUACCAGCUGGCUGCAACUGUUUAUUAAAAACACAGCACUGUGCAAACACGAAAGUGGACGUAUACGGUGUGACGCCUGCCCGGUGCCGGAAGGUUAAUUGAUGGGGUCAGCGCAAGCGAAGCUCUUGAUCGAAGCCCCGGUAAACGGCGGCCGUAACUAUAACGGUCCUAAGGUAGCGAAAUUCCUUGUCGGGUAAGUUCCGACCUGCACGAAUGGCGUAAUGAUGGCCAGGCUGUCUCCACCCGAGACUCAGUGAAAUUGAACUCGCUGUGAAGAUGCAGUGUACCCGCGGCAAGACGGAAAGACCCCGUGAACCUUUACUAUAGCUUGACACUGAACAUUGAGCCUUGAUGUGUAGGAUAGGUGGGAGGCUUUGAAGUGUGGACGCCAGUCUGCAUGGAGCCGACCUUGAAAUACCACCCUUUAAUGUUUGAUGUUCUAACGUUGACCCGUAAUCCGGGUUGCGGACAGUGUCUGGUGGGUAGUUUGACUGGGGCGGUCUCCUCCUAAAGAGUAACGGAGGAGCACGAAGGUUGGCUAAUCCUGGUCGGACAUCAGGAGGUUAGUGCAAUGGCAUAAGCCAGCUUGACUGCGAGCGUGACGGCGCGAGCAGGUGCGAAAGCAGGUCAUAGUGAUCCGGUGGUUCUGAAUGGAAGGGCCAUCGCUCAACGGAUAAAAGGUACUCCGGGGAUAACAGGCUGAUACCGCCCAAGAGUUCAUAUCGACGGCGGUGUUUGGCACCUCGAUGUCGGCUCAUCACAUCCUGGGGCUGAAGUAGGUCCCAAGGGUAUGGCUGUUCGCCAUUUAAAGUGGUACGCGAGCUGGGUUUAGAACGUCGUGAGACAGUUCGGUCCCUAUCUGCCGUGGGCGCUGGAGAACUGAGGGGGGCUGCUCCUAGUACGAGAGGACCGGAGUGGACGCAUCACUGGUGUUCGGGUUGUCAUGCCAAUGGCACUGCCCGGUAGCUAAAUGCGGAAGAGAUAAGUGCUGAAAGCAUCUAAGCACGAAACUUGCCCCGAGAUGAGUUCUCCCUGACCCUUUAAGGGUCCUGAAGGAACGUUGAAGACGACGACGUUGAUAGGCCGGGUGUGUAAGCGCAGCGAUGCGUUGAGCUAACCGGUACUAAUGAACCGUGAGG